GAUCCUGGCUCAGAACGACGCUGGCGGCAUGCCUAACACAUGCAAGUCGAACGAGACCUUCGGGUCUAGUGGCGCACGGGUGCGUAACGCGUGGGAAUCUGCCCUUGGGUUCGGAAUAACUCAGAGAAAUUUGAGCUAAUACCGGAUGAUGACGAAAGUCCAAAGAUUUAUCGCCCAGGGAUGAGCCCGCGUAAGAUUAGCUUGUUGGUGGGGUAAUGGCCUACCAAGGCGACGAUCUUUAGCUGGUCUGAGAGGAUGAUCAGCCACACUGGGACUGAGACACGGCCCAGACUCCUACGGGAGGCAGCAGUGGGGAAUAUUGGACAAUGGGCGCAAGCCUGAUCCAGCAAUGCCGCGUGAGUGAUGAAGGCCUUAGGGUUGUAAAGCUCUUUUACCAGGGAUGAUAAUGACAGUACCUGGAGAAUAAGCUCCGGCUAACUCCGUG
Molecule: ribosomal RNA, 445 nt
Filed under: uncultured bacterium
Lineage: Bacteria
Description: bacterial SSU rRNA
Rfam family: Bacterial small subunit ribosomal RNA
Source: RNAcentral